UACGGAGGGUGCAAGCGUUAUCCGGAUUCACUGGGUUUAAAGGGUGCGUAGGUGGGCAGUUAAGUCAGUGGUGAAAUCUCCGGGCUCAACCCGGAAACUGCCAUUGAUACUAUCUGUCUUGAAUAUCGUGGAGGUGAGCGGAAUAUGUCAUGUAGCGGUGAAAUGCUUAGAUAUGACAUAGAACACCAAUUGCGAAGGCAGCUUACUACCCGAAUAUUGACACUGAGGCACGAAAGCGUGGGGAUCAAACAGG
RNAcentral lists this ribosomal RNA (253 nucleotides) under uncultured bacterium. RNAcentral's name for it is "partial 16S ribosomal RNA". It matches the Rfam family "Bacterial small subunit ribosomal RNA", at positions 524 to 776 of the family's 1533-position model. The record is from RNAcentral.